AAAGUCGUAACAAGGUAACCGUAGGUGAACCUGCGGUUGGAUCAUUACCAAAUCGUUGUUCGUUCCUCAAUUUCCCGAAAGGUUGAAAUUUUGGGCGAACUACCAACCCCUUGUGCAUUAAUGAUGUUUUUUGGGUCUUUUCGGAGGCCCAGCAUUUUAUAAAAACCAUAUCAAUUUGUCUUAAAUCUCUAUGAAAAUAGAAACAACUUUUGACAACGGAUCUCUUGGCUCUC
Molecule: unclassified non-coding RNA, 233 nt
Filed under: Chytridiomycota sp.
Lineage: Eukaryota; Fungi; Chytridiomycota
Description: partial contains small subunit ribosomal RNA, internal transcribed spacer 1, and 5.8S ribosomal RNA
Rfam family: Eukaryotic small subunit ribosomal RNA (bases 1-47)
Source: RNAcentral